Molecule: ribosomal RNA, 468 nt
Filed under: uncultured bacterium
Lineage: Bacteria
Description: partial 16S ribosomal RNA
Rfam family: Bacterial small subunit ribosomal RNA
Source: RNAcentral
GACGAACGCUGGCGGCGUGCUUAACACAUGCAAGUCGAACGGAAAGGCCCUGCUUUUGUGCGCUUCUCGAGUGGCGAACGCGUGAGUAACACGUGUGUAACCUGCCCUUGAUUUUGGUGUAACUUCACGAAACUGGGGUUAAUCUCGGAUCGCAUCCCCUGCUGCAUUGUGGGGGUUGGAAAGUCUCGGCUGUUGGGGUUGGACUCGCGGCUUAUCAGUUUGUUGGUUGGGGAGUGGCUUACCAAGGCUUUGACGGGUACCCGGCCUGAGAGGGUGACCGGCCACAUUGGGACUGAGGUACGGACCAGACUCCUACGGGAGGCAGCAGUGGGGAAUAUUACACAAUGGGCGGAAGCCUGAUGCAGCAACGCCGCGUGCGGGAUGACGGCCUUCGGGUUGUAAACAGCUGUAGCCUGUGACGAAGCGUGAGUGACGGUAAUGGGUAAAGAAGCACCGGCUAACUACGUG